RNAcentral lists this unclassified non-coding RNA (4775 nucleotides) under Hevea brasiliensis (rubber tree). Lineage: Eukaryota; Viridiplantae; Streptophyta; Magnoliopsida; Malpighiales; Euphorbiaceae. The record is from RNAcentral.
CCAAUAGUUUUUUAACUAUAAACACACUUUGGUGGAGGCUUUUGAGGUCUCUCUGCCUGGAGUGGCUUGUUACAUUUCCAUUUCUCUCUCUGUUUUGCUCUAAGAUUGCUGGAGAAGUUUCUCUGAUAGCUGUUUUCAGCCAUCGUUAUGGUGAGGAAGAGGAGAACUGAGCUUCCUGCAAGUGGUGGGGGUGAGAGCUCCCAGUCUCAUGAAGCUGUUGGGGGUAGUGGUCGUGGUUCCCAGCGACCAUCUGAGAGGGGUGCUCCACCUCAGCAGGGAGCAGGUGGAGGAGCAUACCAAGGUGGUAGGGGUUGGGGGCCCCAGUCUCAGCAAGGAGGUCGUGGUGCUGGCCGAGGCCGUGGUGGGAUUCCUCAACAGCAGCAGUAUGGUGCCCCCCCUGAAUACCAAGGGAGGGGAAGAGGAGGGCCGCCUCAGCAAGGAGGUCGAGGAGGCUAUAGUGGUGGUCGCGGCAGUAGUGGCCGUGGAGGAGGUUCUCCUUCUGGUGGCCCAGCCAGACCACCAGUUCCCGAGCUGCACCAAGCAACCCCGGCUCCUUAUCAUGCUGGGGUGUCCCCUAAGCCCAUGUCAUCUGAGGGGAGCUCUUCGUUCCGACCUCCAGAGCCAUCACCAAUAGUACUGUCUCAGCAGAUACAGGACCUUUCCAUCCAGCAAGAGGGUUCUUCAAGUCAGGCAAUUCAGGCUUUGCCUCCACCCUCAAGUAAAUCAAUGAGGUUCCCCCUUAGGCCUGGGAAGGGUAGCACUGGCAUAAGGUGUAUAGUAAAGGCAAACCACUUCUUUGCUGAAUUACCGGAUAAAGAUUUGCACCAGUAUGAUGUUACCAUCACACCUGAGGUCUCAUCAAGAGGUGUGAACCGUGCUGUAAUGGAACAACUCGUUAAACUGUACAAAGAAUCUCACCUUGGAAAGCGUCUUCCUGCCUAUGAUGGCCGAAAGAGUCUGUACACUGCUGGGCCACUUCCAUUUAUAUCAAAGGAAUUUAAAAUCAUUCUCAUUGAUGAAGAUGACGGAUCAGGCGGGCCAAGGAGGGAGAGGGAGUUUAGAGUUGUAAUCAAAUUAGCUGCACGGGCUGACCUACACCAUUUAGGACUCUUUUUGCAGGGAAGGCAAGCAGAUGCACCACAAGAAGCCCUUCAAGUUCUUGACAUUGUUUUGCGUGAAUUGCCUACUACUCGGUACUGCCCGGUGGGUCGAUCAUUUUAUUCCCCUGAUUUAGGAAGAAGGCAACCCCUUGGUGAGGGUUUGGAAAGUUGGCGUGGUUUUUACCAAAGCAUUCGCCCUACACAAAUGGGACUGUCGCUUAAUAUUGAUAUGUCUUCUACUGCUUUCAUUGAGCCACUACCAGUAAUUGACUUUGUAACCCAACUAUUGAAUCGGGAUGUUUCCUCUAGACCAUUGUCUGACGCUGAUCGGGUCAAGAUAAAAAAAGCACUUAGAGGAGUCAAGGUUGAAGUUACACACCGUGGAAAUAUGCGCAGAAAGUACCGUAUAUCUGGUUUAACAUCACAGGCAACACGGGAGUUGACUUUUCCGGUUGAUGAAAGAGGAACCUUGAAGUCUGUUGUUGAGUAUUUUUAUGAGACAUAUGGAUUUGUAAUUCAACACACUCAAUGGCCCUGUUUACAAGUGGGAAAUCAGCAGAGGCCUAAUUAUUUGCCUAUGGAAGUUUGCAAGAUUGUUGAGGGUCAGAGGUACUCCAAGAGACUGAAUGAGAGGCAGAUCACUGCUUUGCUGAAGGUGACCUGUCAGCGUCCUCAUGAAAGGGAGCUUGAUAUUAUGCAGACUGUUCAUCAUAAUGCUUACCACAAUGAUCCUUAUGCAAAGGAGUUUGGAAUUAAAAUUAGUGAGAAGCUUGCUUCAGUAGAAGCUCGUAUUUUGCCACCCCCAUGGCUUAAAUAUCAUGAAACUGGUAGAGAGAGGGAUUGCCUGCCUCAAGUUGGACAAUGGAACAUGAUGAACAAGAAAAUGGUUAAUGGGGGAACAGUGAACAAUUGGAUAUGCAUAAAUUUUUCUCGGAAUGUUCAAGACAGUGUAGCCCGUGGAUUUUGCCAUGAACUUGCACAAAUGUGUUACAUAUCAGGCAUGGCUUUUAAUCCUGAGCCAGUACUUCCUCCAAUUAGCGGUCGUCCAGAGCAGGUAGAGAAGGUCUUGAAAACUCGUUACCAUGAUGCCAUGACAAAACUUCAGCCCCAGGGCAGGGAACUUGACCUGCUUAUUGUAAUUCUCCCUGAUAAUAAUGGUUCCCUUUAUGGUGAUUUGAAACGGAUUUGUGAAACAGAUCUUGGCCUUGUUUCUCAGUGUUGUUUAACAAAGCAUGUAUUCAAAAUGAGUAAGCAAUAUUUGGCCAAUGUGGCUUUGAAGAUAAAUGUGAAGGUUGGAGGAAGAAAUACUGUACUUGUUGAUGCAUUAUCAAGGCGCAUUCCUUUAGUCAGCGACCGGCCCACUAUUAUUUUUGGUGCUGAUGUUACCCAUCCUCAUCCUGGGGAAGACUCGAGCCCAUCUAUUGCAGCUGUAUUCGAUCUUUCUCCUCUCUUCUGAAUGCUGCAUAUCUUGUGUUCGCCUGAUUUGAUCUUGCUGUUUUCCAAUUUUGACCAACAAAAGGUUAUUGAAAUUGAAAUGCAGGUUGUGGCUUCUCAAGAUUGGCCAGAGAUUACAAAGUAUGCUGGUUUGGUUUGUGCUCAAGCCCAUCGACAAGAGCUUAUCCAAGAUUUGUUCAAAGAAUGGCAGGAUCCUGUAAGAGGGAAAGUCUCUGGUGGAAUGAUCAAGUAUGAUUGGCCAUCUCUGUGUCUUUGUCAUAGUUAUCAUAGAGUCAAGUGCCACUAGUGGUCUUAAAUCCAUGCUCUAUUGAUAAGGCUUGUACUUGUCUCUGCAAAUGCUUUCAGGGGGCAUGAAGGAUUUUAUAUUUUACCUUCAUUUUGUUUUACUUGCUCUGUUGGAUGCCUAUGCCUUUUGCUUUAUUGACUUCGUUUUAACUUUCGGUGAUACCAUAUAUGUUGAUUAAAUAAGCAUGAUUGCAUGAAAUUAACUUUUAUAAGGUGAAUAUAAGUGAUUUGGCUAAUUGCAAAUUGAAGUUGCAAUUCUCCCUCCUAGUGUCUGGGACACUAUCAGUUGCAAGUGGGUAGGGCUAUUCUGUUGGAAAAUAUAGAUGAAGCAACAGCUAAUUUAGUGCAUAAAGAGAAAGAAGCUUUGAUUUCCAUGCUUCAACUUUACUUUGUGAUGAUUGCUGUUUUGUCUUUUCUUCUUCUUUUUCGGAUGCACUUGCAAUACAUAUGUGGAUUAUCCUAGGUUCAAUGUAAGCCAUUAAGUGCACUAUCCUGCAUGUAAAUCACAAGGAAGGAUAGUGCACUUAAUGGUUUACAUUGAACAAGCUUCGUUAGUUUGCCUUAUGGAUUUUUGUAUAUUUUUGUAUUUUGCUAUUAACACUUGCAAAUUGAAAUAUUAUGAAUGUUCUAUACCAAUUUUGUGAAUGUGCACUGCACAUGCCUGGGCCCCAGAUACUAGAAUAGUUCUUUGCCUUAUGCCUUAGACAACUAUUGUCUCAGUUAGCUGUUUGUAGAUUUGUAGAGUAUCGUAGCUGACUGUCUUUCCAUAAUACAGGGAACUCCUUAUUUCCUUCCGCAGAGCAACUGGACAGAAGCCACAACGUAUCAUAUUUUACAGGCAUUGCCCAUUUGCUUGUUUUCUUCUUUCUUACUGUAUGUUGUGCUAUUUGUUAACGUGUCUGAUGAUUUAUUCACUUAUUCCAGAGAUGGUGUCAGUGAAGGGCAAUUCUAUCAAGUUUUGCUGUAUGAACUUGAUGCUAUUCGAAAGGCAUGUAAUUCCUUAGAACCAAAUUAUCAGCCUCCUGUAACUUUUGUUGUGGUUCAGAAGCGUCACCACACCAGGUUGUUUGCCAACGACCAUAGUGACCGUAAUGCUGUUGACAGGAGUGGGAAUAUACUGCCUGGUACUGUGGUGGACUCUAAAAUCUGUCAUCCAACAGAGUUCGACUUUUAUUUGUGUAGCCAUGCUGGGAUUCAGGGUACGAGCCGUCCUGCUCAUUACCAUGUACUAUGGGAUGAGAACAAGUUUUCUGCUGAUGGGUUGCAGUCCCUUACGAACAAUCUUUGCUACACAUAUGCGAGAUGCACACGUUCCGUUUCCAUUGUGCCACCUGCAUAUUAUGCUCAUCUUGCUGCAUUUCGAGCUCGGUUCUAUAUGGAACCAGAGACAUCAGACAGUGGAUCAAUGACUAGUGGUCCUGUAUCUGGACGUGGAGCCAUGGGUGGAGGUACAGGUGCACGGAGCACACGAGGAGCUGCUAGUGCUGCUGUGCGACCCUUACCUGCCUUGAAGGAGAAUGUCAAGCGGGUAAUGUUUUAUUGCUAGGUUAUUCUGAUGACCCAGUAGCUUAUCAUUUGGAUUGUUACUGAGGUUGUAGGUGGAGUACUUGUUGAAACUGUUUUGACUUGAAUUUGAAGCGGUUUGCUUUCCUAUGCAUAUUUAUGAAAUUGGAAUUUGCGUGCAAUCUUUAAAUUUGCUUUUUUUUGCAAUUUAUUGAGCAUAUUAUCCUGUCUGUUGCGUUUCCCCUUGGAGAUGGGCCAAAACGCUGGGUUGAAUUUAAUCGCAAGAUUGGUUAAAUUGGGAUUUAAUAUUAGGAGUCUUUGCACUAUGAAUGUAAAAUAAUUGAAUGUAAGAUAAUUGUUGCUUUUAGUCAUUUAAUGACAACUGUGCUGUCUUGGGACAGUGCCUUGUGCGUUUGUUGAAAUUGCAAAUUC